UACGUAGGUGGCAAGCGUUGUCCGGAUUUACUUGGCGUAAAGAGCGCGCAGGCGGUCGAGUAAGUCGAAUGUGAAAGCCCCCGGCUCAACUGGGGAGGGUCACGCGAUACUGAUCGACUCGAAGGCAGGAGAGGGUAGUGGAAUUCCCGGUGUAGUGGUGAAAUGCGUAGAUAUCGGGAGGAACACCAGUGGCGAAGGCGACUACCUGGCCUGUUCUUGACGCUGAGGCGCGAAAGCUAGGGGAGCAAACGGG
RNAcentral lists this ribosomal RNA (253 nucleotides) under uncultured bacterium. RNAcentral's name for it is "partial 16S ribosomal RNA". It matches the Rfam family "Bacterial small subunit ribosomal RNA", at positions 524 to 776 of the family's 1533-position model. The record is from RNAcentral.